RNAcentral lists this ribosomal RNA (503 nucleotides) under uncultured bacterium. RNAcentral's name for it is "partial 16S ribosomal RNA". It matches the Rfam family "Bacterial small subunit ribosomal RNA", at positions 30 to 523 of the family's 1533-position model. The record is from RNAcentral.
AUUGAACGCUGGCGGCAGGCUUAACACAUGCAAGUCGAGCGGGGUGAUGGUGCUUGCACUAUCACUUAGCGGCGGACGGGUGAGUAAUGCUUAGGAAUCUGCCUAUUAGUGGGGGACAACAUCUCGAAAGGGAUGCUAAUACCGCAUACGUCCUACGGGAGAAAGCAGGGGAUCACUUGUGACCUUGCGCUAAUAGAUGAGCCUAAGUCGGAUUAGCUAGUUGGUGGGGUAAAGGCCUACCAAGGCGACGAUCUGUAGCGGGUCUGAGAGGAUGGUCCGCCACACUGGGACUGAGACACGGCCCAGACUCCUACGGGAGGCAGCAGUGGGGAAUAUUGGACAAUGGGGGGAACCCUGAUCCAGCCAUGCCGCGUGUGUGAAGAAGGCCUUAUGGUUGUAAAGCACUUUAGGCGAGGAGGAGGCUCUUUUGGUAAAUACCCAAGAUGAGUGGACGUUACUCGCAGAAUAAGCACCGGCUAACUCUGUGCCAGCCGCCGCCGUAA